RNAcentral lists this ribosomal RNA (253 nucleotides) under uncultured bacterium. RNAcentral's name for it is "partial 16S ribosomal RNA". It matches the Rfam family "Bacterial small subunit ribosomal RNA", at positions 524 to 776 of the family's 1533-position model. The record is from RNAcentral.
UACAGAGGGUGCGAGCGUUGUUCGGAACUAUUGGGCGUAAAGGGCGCGUAGGCGGUGCCACAAGUCACUUGUGAAAUCCCCGGGCUUAACUCGGGGCCUGCAGGCGAAACUGUGGUGCUGGAGUAUGGGAGAGGUGCGUGGAAUUCCCGGUGUAGCGGUGAAAUGCGUAGAUAUCAGGAGGAACACCUGUGGUGUAGACAGCUUACUGGACCAUUUCUGACGCUGAGACACGAAAGCGUGGGUAGCAAACAGG